Molecule: ribosomal RNA, 459 nt
Filed under: uncultured bacterium
Lineage: Bacteria
Description: partial 16S ribosomal RNA
Rfam family: Bacterial small subunit ribosomal RNA
Source: RNAcentral
CCUACGGGAGGCAGCAGUGAGGAAUAUUGGUCAAUGGGCGGGAGCCUGAACCAGCCAAGCCGCGUGAGGGAAGAAGGUACAGCGUAUCGUAAACCUCUUUUGUCAGGGAACAAAGACUGGGACGCGUCCCCGGAUGAGUGUACCUGAAGAAAAAGCAUCGGCUAACUCCGUGCCAGCAGCCGCGGUAAUACGGAGGAUGCGAGCGUUAUCCGGAUUUAUUGGGUUAAAAGGGUGCGCAGGCGGUCUGUUAAGUCAGCGGUCAAAGCCCGGGGCUCAACCCCGGCCCGCCGUUGAAACUGGCAGUCUCGAGUUGGAGAGAAGUAUGCGGAAUGCGCGGUGUAGCGGUGAAAUGCAUAGAUAUCGCGCAGAACUCCGAUUGCGAAGGCAGCAUGCCGGCUCCACACUGACGCUGAGGCACGAAAGCGUGGGUAUCGAACAGGAUUAGAUACCCCAGUAGUC